AUGGUUGAAAAUAUUUGUGGAAAUAGAACUACGAGAUGUUCUGGCUCAUCUCUUCAUUCUUCUCCUGAGCAAUAUUUACGGAAUUCUGCCUCAGAACUACCUCUUGUCCCUUUUAAAUUACCAUUUCCAUCACUCCUUUCCGACAAGGUCAAUGAGGACUACAUGAAGCCAAAGAUCUCAAAUGAAUGCCUCCCUUUGGCCGACCUAAUAGAACACUGCUGGCCAACGAGUCUGUUAAACACUAUUUCUGAGAGUCUUACUAUGAGGUACAAGGAAGUGUAUAAGAUAUUUCUAAGCAACAACAAUCAAUACCUGGCAUGAUAUCUGAGUUUAAAAUGAAUAUCACACCUUUUUUCUUUAAUGUACUUUGCUAGUGCUCUUGAAGAUGGACAAUAAGAGUAAGCACUUACUAUGUUGUUAACUAAUAAGAACUAUUCCUCUUAAACCAGUUCUUUCUUAUAUUUACACAUUAUAAGCUGUAAUUUUAGUGUGUUUUUUUUUUCAUCAAAUACCAAGUAGACGGUGAGAUUAUCAAAUCACUCUUUUGUUCACAGGUGUGUGUGUGUAUGUGAGUGUGCAGCCUAUUUGAUCGUCAACCUGACAUUCAAAUACUUGCAAAAUGCCACCUACAUUUUUCUAUAUUGCCAAUAAGUAUUGAAAGGUAGUACCUGAAAGUUGAUAUGGCUAUAGAAAAAGGCCUGGGAACUUCAACACUGUUGAAAAUCUCCAAGAAAUGGUUUCAUUUACAUAGGACAAAAAAUCUUGCCAUGUAACCUAUAUCAAAACAAAUAAUGUGGAUGGAAAUAAAAGUAAGACAUUAUUAAAUUUCA
RNAcentral lists this long non-coding RNA (830 nucleotides) under Felis catus (domestic cat). RNAcentral's name for it is "lncRNA (ENSFCAG00000051919.1)". Lineage: Eukaryota; Metazoa; Chordata; Mammalia; Carnivora; Felidae. The record is from RNAcentral.